AGAGAAAGUGCAAUCGAUAAUUGUGCUGGCUUCUUUUCAUUCUUAUAAUACUUCUGAGUUGAAGAUCCCGAAUCCCAUUUCAGGGAAUAUCAGUAAGGCUCGGACUCAGGAUUUUAUCCCAGUCCCGUAGCUCAGCUGGUUAGAGCGCUACACUGAUAAUGUAGAGGCCCGCGGUUCAAGUCCGCGCGGGACUACUCAAUUCACAAGCAAAAAGUGACUGCCACUAGGUAGUCUCCAAUUGUGAGUUAGACCUUGCGGUCUAUUUGAAAAACACUGGGGGAUUAGCUCAGCUGGCUAGAGCACCUGCCUUGCACGCAGGGGGUCAUCGGUUCGAAUCCGUUAUCCUCCACUAGUAUUAUAAUCUGUUCUUUUAUGUUGGUUUAGCCUUAGAAAUGGUGCAAAUCCAUUCCCAACACUUUUCUCUAAAUGAGAAAAAGUUCUUUGAAAUCUUGAAUAAUAUUAUAAGAG
RNAcentral lists this transfer RNA (468 nucleotides) under uncultured Cryomorphaceae bacterium. RNAcentral's name for it is "16S-23S ribosomal RNA intergenic spacer". The stretch from base 121 to 194 matches the Rfam family "tRNA". Lineage: Bacteria; Pseudomonadati; Bacteroidota; Flavobacteriia; Flavobacteriales; Cryomorphaceae. The record is from RNAcentral.